GAAAGUCUGAUGGAGCAACGCCGCGUGAACGAUGAAGGCCUUCGGGUCGUAAAGUUCUGUUGUUAGGGAAGAACAAGUAUCGGAGUAACUGCCGGUACCUUGACGGUACCUAACCAGAAAGCCACGGCUAACUACGUGCCAGCAGCCGCGGUAAU
This 155-nucleotide ribosomal RNA is filed under the name Bacillus sp. enrichment culture DGGE gel band jl-1h-10. RNAcentral describes it as "partial 16S ribosomal RNA". It matches the Rfam family "Bacterial small subunit ribosomal RNA", at positions 377 to 524 of the family's 1533-position model. Lineage: Bacteria; Bacillati; Bacillota; Bacilli; Caryophanales; Bacillaceae. The record is from RNAcentral.